GGUUCCAUAGUGUAGCGGUCGUUAGCACGUCUGCUUUACACGCAGAAGGUCCUGGGUUUGUGCCCUAGUGGAGCCA
Molecule: transfer RNA, 76 nt
Filed under: Pteropus alecto (black flying fox)
Lineage: Eukaryota; Metazoa; Chordata; Mammalia; Chiroptera; Pteropodidae
Rfam family: tRNA
About the family: Transfer RNA (tRNA) molecules are approximately 80 nucleotides in length. Their secondary structure includes four short double-helical elements and three loops (D, anti-codon, and T loops).
Source: Rfam by way of RNAcentral